Molecule: long non-coding RNA, 438 nt
Organism: Myripristis murdjan (pinecone soldierfish)
Lineage: Eukaryota; Metazoa; Chordata; Actinopteri; Holocentriformes; Holocentridae
Exons: 3
Source: RefSeq, a predicted model, not a curated record
UAUGGAUGCUCAAAUGAGCGCAGCAUUGAAACCAGAUCCCGUGGAAUCACUUUUCACAGGUUUCCCAAAGACAGUAGUCUUAAAAGGGAAUGGGAACUGGCAGUGAAAAGGGAGGGUUUUGUGGCUACUGAGAGAUCCUUGCUCUGCAGUGAGCACUUUAAGGCAGAUGACUUUGACAGGACAGGGCAGAUUGUCCGCCUUAGACAUGGAGUCAAACCAUCUGUCUUUAACUUCCCAUCUCAUUUACAAAAGCAAGUACCAUCAAGAACCACACAAACUUCAAGGAAAGCUGAAGAGAGCCUGCCAGUGGCCUGCCAGCAUUUCCAUGAAGUUGACCCUCAGUCUAAUGUUGUAAGUAUUUGCAUGUAAUAUUUCUCAAACACAUGAGAACAUCAAGCCCCUGGUCGUAUUAAAACCUCUAUCGCAGUUGCUCUCUGC